GAAGAUAAUCUAUUAUCUGACAUAUCUUGAGAAGCAUCUAAUUUCUGAAUGGAACAUGAGGUUUUGUUCAUAGCCUUCUGUUCCUCGGUACCAUCUGGCUGAACAGAUUCACUGGCAAUUGUCACAGGCGAAGCUUCUUCUGGCUGAAUGGCUAAUUGAAAAUUUCCCUUCAAAUCUUCAGUUUCAACUGUGUUCAAUUCUGAUGUGGCAGAAGCAGAACGGUUCACAGAGUCCUCAGCUUCUGGCAUAUUCUCAGGCUUCAGUACACCAUCAGUUAUUACACUCUCCACAGAUUGCAUUGC
Molecule: long non-coding RNA, 302 nt
Filed under: Gossypium raimondii (Peruvian cotton)
Lineage: Eukaryota; Viridiplantae; Streptophyta; Magnoliopsida; Malvales; Malvaceae
Description: long non-coding RNA (GRAI_LNC003521)
Source: RNAcentral